This 777-nucleotide ribosomal RNA is filed under the name Triticum aestivum (bread wheat). RNAcentral describes it as "partial small subunit ribosomal RNA". Lineage: Eukaryota; Viridiplantae; Streptophyta; Magnoliopsida; Poales; Poaceae. The record is from RNAcentral.
AUGAUGGGCAACACCAGGGAGCUGCCGGCACCACAGAGAGGCGACAGUUGGAAUACUUAUGAAUGUGCAACUGUGCUUUGUGCCGUUGACGGUUGCGACCAUGGGGCUUGCCAAUCGGGCCCAUUUUUUGUGGUCUCCAUCAGCCUUGACGAGGAUAAGGUGGCCACGACAAUCAUGUAUUCGUCGGACACGGGUACUUGGAGCACCCCGGCCUCCCUUGAUCUAGGUUUUAUUGAGAGUGAUAUCAGUAUCUCUUGGAUGCACGGUGUGCUCUCCGGAGGCGCGCUACAUUUUAUCUUGAUGCACGACGAUGCUCGUCUUGGUGUACUUAAGUAUGACUUGGGGACGUCUUGCCUAUCAGAGAUUGAGCCGGCGUUUGAGAUUCAGAGUGCCCGCUUUGACUCUCAUGCCCUGAUUGCACCGGAGGACGGCCAACUGGGGAUUGCGAGGCUCAGUGGUUUCAAUCUCUCCGUGUACUGGAGGGAGGUUUGUCACGACCAGGUUGCAACGUGGACAAAAUCUGAAGUCAUUGACCUAAAGAAGCAUCUCCUUGCAAGCAAUCCCAUGAUCUCACAUACCGAGUUGGUUGGCUCUGUUGAAAGAACGACUAUCAUCUUUGCAACCACAAAUAUUGGCACCUACAUGAUUGAUCUCAAGUCACUAAGGUCGAAGAAGCUCACGAGCGAGCUUCGUCUUUUCAACCAUCCAUGGGCUCUGUUCCCCUAUUUUAGCUUCUACAAUCCCCAGCGGGACAAGUUGAGAACGCGGUCGAUUUAG